This 425-nucleotide ribosomal RNA is filed under the name Leptodactylus paraensis group sp. ABGD cluster 66. RNAcentral's name for it is "partial large subunit ribosomal RNA". It matches the Rfam family "Bacterial large subunit ribosomal RNA", at positions 1833 to 2457 of the family's 2925-position model. The record is from RNAcentral. Lineage: Eukaryota; Metazoa; Chordata; Amphibia; Anura; Leptodactylidae.
CUUGUACACUCAAUAAGAGGUCCAGCCUGCCCAGUGACCCUGUUCAACGGCCGCGGUAUCCUAACCGUGCGAAGGUAGCGUAAUCACUUGUUCUUUAAAUGAGGACUAGUAUGAAUGGCAUCACGAAGGUUAUACUGUCUCCUCUCUCUAAUCAGUGAAACUAAUCUCCCCGUGAAGAAGCGGGGAUAAUCUUAUAAGACGAGAAGACCCUAUGGAGCUUUAAACUAAGAAGCAAUUGCCCUUAUACCUUUGAAAUUCCAGAAAACUAAUGAGUACAAGGCACUGUGACUUCCAAUUUUAGGUUGGGGUGACCACGGAGUAAAAACUAACCUCCGUACUGAAUAGGGACCUUCCCUAAACUAAGGGCCACAACCCUAAGAAUCAAUACAUUGACAGCAAUUGACCCAAAAAUUUGAUCAAUGAAC